RNAcentral lists this ribosomal RNA (175 nucleotides) under Bacillus cereus. RNAcentral describes it as "partial 23S ribosomal RNA". It matches the Rfam family "Bacterial large subunit ribosomal RNA", at positions 2768 to 2925 of the family's 2925-position model. Lineage: Bacteria; Bacillati; Bacillota; Bacilli; Caryophanales; Bacillaceae. The record is from RNAcentral.
GUGCUGAAAGCAUCUAAGCACGAAACUUGCCCCGAGAUGAGUUCUCCCUGACUCCUUGAGAGUCCUGAAGGAACGUUGAAGACUACGACGUUGAUAGGCUGGGUGUGUAAGCGUAGCGAUACGUUGAGCUAACCAGUACUAAUGAACCGUGAGGCUUAACCUUACAACGCCGAAG